AAAAGUUACAAAUUUCCCAAAACAAGGCUGUGAAUUCUAAAGAAGUGAUACCGGGUCCACUUUCACUGUUGGUUGAUGUCAGAAAAUAAGUAGUAACCAUGCAAUUGUUUUACUUUGUAGCAAAUUCCAAAAUAACAAAUAUACAUAUCUAACGGAGAUUGAUAAUAAUAUAAUAUUGUACCUCUUUUUUUUCUUUGCUUCGUACAGUUCCCCAAUAAUACAUUGAGUCCGCGAUCAAGGCUGUACAGUACUCCC
Molecule: long non-coding RNA, 255 nt
Filed under: Setaria viridis
Lineage: Eukaryota; Viridiplantae; Streptophyta; Magnoliopsida; Poales; Poaceae
Description: long non-coding RNA (SVIR_LNC004227)
Source: RNAcentral